AUUUAUAUACAUGAAAAUAUUCUUCUCUAAUUCAAAUAACAUGUAAAAUAAGAAUAAUGUGUUUUUAUGCGUUAUGAUAGAUUUGGCAUGCAUGGUAUGACCUGGAUGAAGUAUGGGUGAUGUAUAUUUAUAUUGUUGUGGAUAGAAUUUUGGGAGUAAAUAUUUAGAGAUUUACAAUUUGAGAUAUAUGGUAUAUACGAGGGUUUCCUUGUUUGGAUUAUUCCCUCGACGUACUCAUCUCUCAUGUUGUGGGUCUCUAAAUCUUAUCUCCUUUUAGCAUAUGGUAUAAGGUAUGUGCUUAUGGUAGACCUUGUCUGAUAUCCAUGUUUAGAAACUUCUUUUAUCAUCUUUAAUUGAGUUUCAUCGUAUUUUGUUUAUAAGAUAGCCUUUUUCUUUUAUCACUGAAAUUUUAGAAUUUAUCUUUUCUUAUUAUCUACCACUUAUAGUUGCACGUGCACAAUUUCCUCAUUUUACAUGCUUGCUGGGAGUUUUCUGACUCCCAUGGGGUUUGCAUACCCCAGACUUGGGAAUUGUCCUUUCUUCGCAGGACCAAGAGAACUUUAAGGAUUAAGACCCGUGACAGUGACCACCUUCUCUCUCAGCUUCAAUUAUUGAGUCUUUCUUGUAAUCACUUGUGGUACUCGAGACUAAGAUGUAUUUUCCUCCUUCCUACUUUGAAUAGUUGUGGACAUGAUGAUCCAGAGGCGUGAAUGUAACCGUAUGGUUGCAUUGCCGACCGAGUCAUGCUCCAAAUUAUCACGUUUUGGACUCGGGGCGUGACAAGGUUUUAUUGGUAUCAGAGCCAGGUUUACAUAACUGGACUCUCAUCCUGUACAUAACUAUUGGAGCUUUUAAAAUAGGAAUAGGAGUCUGAGCAUGUAUAAUAUUAGGCUCGUUCACCCUUGCAAUAUAUUUUUGUGCUUACUCCUUUGAUUCUGCAUACAAAUUCAUUUCUAUCUUAACAGUUAAUUCUUUUUUUUCUUCUCAAGCCAAGUGUAUCCAAACUUAGUCAAUGAGCACAAAUUGGUUUUUGACUACCCUCAAGCUUCAUAAGUUAAGCUAGCAUGAAAGUUUAUCCAGCCAUUAGCCCUCACCUUAGCAGCAACUAUAAGUUCAUGAAUGCUUGUUUUUUUGGUGAAGUUAUCUCGACCAACGGAUCAUCUAAAUCAAAUCAUUUAGCUCUAGCUAGAUCAUGCGACUGAACUUGGAUAUUCUUUAUGUGCUAACCAAUCAGGAUAUUAGUAGACUUGAAAACUUUUUAGUUACCUCCAGCUAGAUAGACUAGUAUCUUAGCACCGUUAGGUCAUGUGAGAGGAAUGUUUUUUUUUUUAGCUUAACUUGAGGUAGAUAUGCAUGUAAGGCAAAUCCAUCUGGUGACGUAUGUGCAAUUGAUUAUCUAGAUUAUAAAUUCUGAAUGUGGUUCAUGCUUGAUAAUAUGCAUGGUAUCCAAGAAUGAGAAAUCAUGUGGAUGAUAUUGAGGGUAUAUGUUGGAAACUUGAUUUUUGUGAGAUAACAGCCAUAUAAAUUUAAGUAUUUGAUUGAAGAUAUUGUAUGAUUAUGUACCCAAUAUAUGAUCGAGAUAAUACAUGAUGCUUGAUAUCUAGAAAGAUAUAUUAAUACUUGAGAAGUGCCACCGAACCAUGGUUCCAACCACAUGUCUAUAAGUUUAAGAAAUGCAAGGAAAGGAAUUUCAUGAAAGGUCUCAGGAUAAGAUAUACCAGUUUUAUAUUAGUAUCGAAUUAUCUUAUGAUAUGCAUGUUUAUGAUGCCAUAGUGUUGAAUGUCAAGCGAUUCCUUCAAGACACCAUUGUAACAUUGAUAUUGGGAUACAUGGUUUAGUGAGAGGGGGCUCGUGAUCUUCCUCCACUGGAUUGUGAUUGGUGGUGGUCCUAAGGGUGACGAUCCUUAGGACCAAACUUGGGAAAAAAAUUGGUUUACAUGUAUCACGUCUUGACUGAUCUCGCAGGGGAUUCAUACUAUGGAGAGUCAUUCCAAUAACCUUAUGGUAUGUGGUAUGAGAUAUAUACAACGACAAUCUAGAUUGGGUAUCAUAUCUAUUUAUUUCUGAUAGAGCAUUGCUUCUCGUGUGCUUGGAUUAAAUUCCGAGGACGGAAUUUGUUUUAAGGAGGGUAGGAUGUAACAAUCAAAAUUUUUCGAUACGUAUUUAAUUAUUAAAUUGUUAUUUUUCAAAGAGUAUUAAUGUUUACCUAAUCUCUAUGAUUUUUAGUAAUGUAUAAUAAUAGUGGUUAUUAAUUUUUGGGAAAUUAUAAUUACAAUUGUUAUGAUUAUGUACAUAGUAUUUAGUUGAUAUUACUAAUAAUUGGUUAAUAUUAUUAAUUGUUUAAAUUAUUACUAUAACGGUAUUCUUAUGUAUAUGGUAAUAUAUCCCCAAAUCUCGUUCUCUCUCUCCUCAAAAAUUCCCACGUUCAGCACACUCUCUCUCUCCACUCAUCUCAUUCUCAUUUAUUUCCCUCUACACUAUUUUCCUAAACGGCCAAAUCUCCCAAAAUAUCUCCAUCUCCUUUAAUCACUCCCCAAAAUCACGUUAUCUCUCCUCUUAAUACCUUCUCUCUCUCUCUCUUUUCAUCCGGUUCUCUCUACUUCCUCCCCAAGAGAACUCUGACCACCCAAGCCCACUCCGUCCAACUCCCCAACCCGCCGCCUUGGAGCCUCCACCGAGCCGCCUACUCCCCCCUUUCCUUCGCCGCUUCUAGCCGACAACCGCUGUCCCCUCCUGAACCCCGCAGUCAACCCCAACGCCCUCUUCCACGAACUCUGACCAAGCCCUUAGCAACCGCACCGCCGUCCACAGGCAAAGCCCCUGAACUCCGACCAGGUCCAAACCCAACCGAGGUUUUCACCGCCGUCCCUCCAUCACCACGACCAGCCUUCGCUCACCAGCAGCCCCUGGUGCACCCAAACCCGCGCCCUCUCUCCACCUCCAUCGCACGCCACAUGUUCGACAAUAAGCCAACACAGAUCCAGUUGUAGAACCGCACACCAACAACCCCAUCGAACCCGUUGAGCCCCUCAGUGAUGACAACCAUCGUCGUCGCCGUCCCCAAACAUCGCCAUCACCCUCUAGACGGCAAGCAUUUUUGUCUUGCUCUUUGUUGAAUUCGUUCUCAUUAUUAUUAUGCAAGCAUUCAUUUUCUCAAUUAUUAUUAUUAUUAUUAUUAUUUGAUUUUCCUCCAUGCAAGCCUUUCUAUCCUUUUAGUAUUUCAUAAUCAGCUUAUUAAAUUAGAAAUAUUUUCUUUAUAGGGAUCAUAAUGAAUAGUUGCUAGAUAGUUCAAACACUUUUAUUUAUCUUAAUAUGGAAGGGACAAUCCGAGAUCCUUUAUGCAAUAUUUUAUAGAUAUCAUCUUUAUCUUUCUAAUUACCUCUCAUUUAUUUCAUUAGAAUAAAUAUCCAUAGUAUGAUUAGAAUAACUUGUGUUUUGUGUAUGUGUGAUCUGUCUAGUUUAUAUGCAUAGUGUUUGACAAUUUUAGUUUAGGAAAUAUAACAUUUGUGAUCUGGAACUUAGGUAGAGUAAUUGGAUUUUUUUUUUAUGCGGAAAUGAGGCCAAGCGUAAUAUAGGUAUAGACUUAAAAAUUCAUCCUUUUUAUAAAUAUAUGCUUCACAGCUUUCAAAUUUUGCACAAGUAUCCUAGAUGAUAUUAGACACAUUUAUAUGAACAUUCUGGAAGCUAAUUUCCCCUACUUUACAGUGAUCGGAAAGUCAAAAUUGGAAAAGAAACUGGAAAGUAAUUGGAAGUGAGAAAAAGUAAUUUGGCACACGAAAAAAAAAUAUAAACUUCAAUUGAGCCUGUAAUGAAAUGCAACGCCAAACUAAAGUUGGUUUAUUUGUUUCUGAUAUCAAAGAAGUUUUGAGGUGAAUUAGUUGUCUAAGAUUGUUUGGUUUAUUGAGCUUUGGAUAUUACAGUGAUGGUUGCUUAAAGGGGAAUGUGUAGCCAAAUAGGGAAAAUGCUGGUAGGUAUUACAAAGAAGUCGGAUUUGGCUGAUAAUUUUAUGUAAUAUGGAAGAUUCGGGGAUUUAGAAAUGUAGUCGUA
Molecule: long non-coding RNA, 4047 nt
Organism: Asparagus officinalis (garden asparagus)
Lineage: Eukaryota; Viridiplantae; Streptophyta; Magnoliopsida; Asparagales; Asparagaceae
Exons: 2
Source: RefSeq, a predicted model, not a curated record